GCAAUUCAGGCAGCAUCCAAGGAGCAGCGAAAUCGACGUUUCGGGCAAAAGUCCUUUAUAUGGGAAUUUGCAGAGAGUGGUUUGAGCUGUUACUGCCAUCAUCCAGCAUUCUUACCACGAAAACAUGUUUCUUAAAAUUACGGCAAAAAAAUUACCAAAACUCAACCCUAAAUGUGUGUCAUCUUACAUGAUUUAUCAAUCUCAUAUCCUGGUUCAUGAAUAAUGCAUUGACACAUGAAGAUGCCUUCUAGUGGUGAGAUCUUGGUCAGUUAUACUCCAAGGAAGCUGGUCACUGGUUCAUGAGCGGCCCAUCAAGUACUGAAGAUGGAUUCAGCAGGGAAUAUCAAUGUAGCAGAUCAUAACACACAAAGACACCAAGAUUGGGUGAUUGAACAGAGCGAAGAAUACAAAGGUACGGCUGCAAAGAAGGU
Non-coding RNA from Chiloscyllium plagiosum (whitespotted bambooshark), 431 nucleotides. The record is from RefSeq and is a predicted model, not a curated record. Lineage: Eukaryota; Metazoa; Chordata; Chondrichthyes; Orectolobiformes; Hemiscylliidae.